RNAcentral lists this ribosomal RNA (510 nucleotides) under uncultured Oscillibacter sp. RNAcentral's name for it is "partial 16S ribosomal RNA". The record is from RNAcentral. Lineage: Bacteria; Bacillati; Bacillota; Clostridia; Eubacteriales; Oscillospiraceae.
CACGUAGUUAGCCGUGGCUUAUUCAAGAGGUACCGUCUUCUGCUCUUCCCUCUUAAAAGAAGUUUACAACCCGAAAGCCUUCUUCCUUCGCGCGGCGUUGCUGGGUCAGGCUUGCGCCCAUUGCCCAAUAUUCCCCACUGCCUGCCUCCCGUAGGAGUCUGGGCCGUAUCUCAGUCCCAAUGUGGCCGGUCAACCUCUCAGUCCGGCUACUGAUCGUCGCCUAGGUGGGCCGUUACCCCGCCUACUAGCUAAUCAGACGCGAGGCCAUCUUCCAGCGAUAAAUCUUUGACAUUCAAACCAUGCGAUUCAAAUGUGUCAUGCGGUAUUAGCAGUCGUUUCCAACUGUUGUCCCCCUCUGGAAGGCAGGUUCCUCACGCGUUACUCACCAGUCCGCCACUAAGCAUUCCUCUCCAUUGUCCGAAAACUCUUUCAAGGGUGCUCCGUUCGACUUGCAUGUGUUAAAGCACGCCGCCAGCGUCGUCUCGUCGUACGACGACGUACGUAACUACU